RNAcentral lists this unclassified non-coding RNA (205 nucleotides) under Hevea brasiliensis (rubber tree). The record is from RNAcentral. Lineage: Eukaryota; Viridiplantae; Streptophyta; Magnoliopsida; Malpighiales; Euphorbiaceae.
AAAUAAUAAAAAAAAAAAAGUUCAUUACCAUGAAGGGGAAUUCUUCUUCUUUUUAGGUUCUUAUUAAUUAGUGUCUUUCUUUCUUUAUGAGAUUAUCUAUCCCAGGUGUAUUAGCAAAAGAGUGAUGUUAAUAUGAGGUAAGAUUUUUCUAGUACUUGAAAGUUUUCAUAAAUGAAAUGCUAAAAUCUUGAGUUGGAGAGUUGAG